This is a long non-coding RNA of Cotesia glomerata, 102 nucleotides long. RefSeq lists it as uncharacterized. The record is from RefSeq and is a predicted model, not a curated record. NCBI's taxonomy places the organism in Eukaryota, Metazoa, Arthropoda, Insecta, Hymenoptera, Braconidae. The transcript is spliced from 3 exons.
CAAAAAAAUUUUAAAUUUAUUUUAAAAUUUUUUUUUUGUGCGUACGAUAAUUUUUCAGAAGAUCCGAUAAUUUGACGGCACUGUGUCGAUCAGACAAGCAAA